GCCCUGGUGGUGAAAUUGGUAGACACAAGGGAUUUAAAAUCCUCGACGUUCGCGUCGUGCCGGUUCAAGUCCGGCCCGGGGCACCA
This 86-nucleotide transfer RNA is filed under the name Enterovibrio coralii. RNAcentral's name for it is "tRNA-Leu". It matches the Rfam family "tRNA". From Rfam's summary of the family: Transfer RNA (tRNA) molecules are approximately 80 nucleotides in length. Their secondary structure includes four short double-helical elements and three loops (D, anti-codon, and T loops). Lineage: Bacteria; Pseudomonadati; Pseudomonadota; Gammaproteobacteria; Vibrionales; Vibrionaceae. The record is from RNAcentral.